This 530-nucleotide ribosomal RNA is filed under the name uncultured bacterium. RNAcentral's name for it is "bacterial SSU rRNA". It matches the Rfam family "Archaeal small subunit ribosomal RNA", at positions 723 to 1252 of the family's 1478-position model. The record is from RNAcentral.
AGUGAAUAGAUACCCAGGUAGUCCCAGCUGUAAACGAUGCGCGUUAGGUGUAUCGGUGACCACGAGUCACCGAGGUGCCGAAGAGAAAUCGUGAAACGUGCCGCCUGGGAAGUACGGUCGCAAGGCUGAAACUUAAAGGAAUUGGCGGGGGAGCACCACAACAGGUGGAGCCUGCGGUUUAAUCGGACUCAACGCCGGGAAACUCACCAGAUAAGACAGCUGAAUGAUAGUCGGGCUGAAGACUCUACUUGACUAGCUGAGAGGAGGUGCAUGGCCGUCGUCAGUUCGUACUGUGAAGCAUCCUGUUAAGUCAGGCAACGAGCGAGACCCACGCCAACAGUUGCCAGCUCGUCCUCCGGGAUGGAGGGGACACUGUUGGGACCGCCUCUGCUAAAGAGGAGGAAGGAAUGGGCAACGGUAGGUCAGCAUGCCCGAAUUAUCUGGGCUACACGCGGGCUACAAUGGGUGGGACAAUGGUAUCGACACCGAAACGGUGAAGGCGAAUCUCCUAAACCCACUCCUUAGUUCGG